CGAGGAAGGAUAAGCCUUCGCCGUCACACCUUGUGCUGCCAGCUUCGUCGCACCUCAUCAUCAUUAUCGCUGCCGGACCUCCGUGUCGCACUGGCACCGCGAGUUGCUAUCGAGCCACCACAAGCAGGACCCGAUGCAAAGAGAGAGACAGAACGACGCGAGGAGAGAAAGAAGUUAUUGCGGGGUGGUUUCUGCCACCGCUGCUUUCUCCGCCAUCGCCGUCUAUGGAGCUCGCCGCCGCCGAAGUCACGAGCUGAGGUGGGGGAGGAGGCCAUCUUCCCUGUGUUGUUGCAGUCACCGUGAUGUUACUGCUACGCUUCAUUUUCUUGUUUUCCUUCAUUACUGAUUAAGCCGCCGCAGCUGUGGGCUGUGAUGGUUGAUGCUCUUUAAGAAUCGUUGCUGCUGGGGUGACUAGAAUCGCUACUGCUAGUUCUAACAUUGCUACCGUUGCUAUUGACUUGCCCCAAUUCAAGUUCAGUGUCACUGCCCUAGGUCUAGCCUUUCUCCUGACUCUGUUUCACUUUUAUACUAUGAACUGCCUUGGUCUCAUUUAUCUGUUUGUUAUUAUUUUAAUUCCAUUUUAGUUUCGGUGUUGCCUUGAAUUUUCAGAGUUGUUUUUGCGUUUGAUUCCAUCAAAUUCGAUGUUGCUGCGAGUGUAAUCGGAGUUGGUGAUGCUGCCAUCAUCCCAGUUGUGUUGGAAUCGCCACUGCUAUUGUGAGUUUAGGUUAAGCGGGACUAUUGUGUUGAAUUAUGCGACUACGACAUCGAGGUAGGGGCACUUUUCUUAAA
Molecule: non-coding RNA, 789 nt
Organism: Arachis ipaensis
Lineage: Eukaryota; Viridiplantae; Streptophyta; Magnoliopsida; Fabales; Fabaceae
Source: RefSeq, a predicted model, not a curated record